AUGAAUUAAAUAGGAGGUAGUUGUUGCUGGCCUUCUUAAUGAGGGGGCAUGUGCACACUAUGUCUUUCAUUACCUUUCUCACCUGUGCACUAACUGUAGGUUCAGCCGGCUAGUUUUGGCUCGCAUGAACCUAUGUUUUUAUAUACACACCGAGUAUGUUACAGAAUGUUAUUAAACAAGGCUUAAUUGCCUUUUAAACUUUAUA
This 205-nucleotide unclassified non-coding RNA is filed under the name uncultured Rhizopogon. Its description in RNAcentral is "sequence contains ITS1". The record is from RNAcentral. Lineage: Eukaryota; Fungi; Basidiomycota; Agaricomycetes; Boletales; Rhizopogonaceae.